This 659-nucleotide long non-coding RNA is filed under the name Betta splendens (Siamese fighting fish). RNAcentral's name for it is "lncRNA (ENSBSLG00000024219.1)". The record is from RNAcentral. Lineage: Eukaryota; Metazoa; Chordata; Actinopteri; Anabantiformes; Osphronemidae.
AUUAGGACAAAAAAAUAGAACAUUUAUAGUAUAAGUGCCUCAGAGCUGCAGUUCAGCGUUACUCGCAACAACCAUAAUCUUUUAAUCAGCAGAACUUCGAAAGCCACGACCUCAGGAAGUCACUCAUUGUGAUCUAUGAGAAAACACUCAGACACGUGAGAAGUCAGUGAAGUGCCUGAAGCACGAGGAGACAUGAGAGCGUUUCAUAUGUCAGCGUUCAUCAGGACGGUUCUCUUCACCGAGUGUCUGCUGACGAGUGUGACAGGAGAUGGGGACGAUUCUGAAGAGAAACUAGAGAUCAAGUACGUUCUGAUCGGCGUAGGCCUCGGCCUGCUUUUAGCUGCUUUGUUCAUUAUAGUCAAAAUCUGCAUCAUCAGGCAACACGUGUACGACAACUACACAGAGGAAAGCAUGAAGAGACCCUCAGAGCCCCACUUGUUCACUUUGAGCCAUCUGAGCCAAUCAGAGAAUCCAGUGCCAACGGUGUCCAAUGACGUGCGGGGUUAAAGGUCACGCAGAGUGAUUUACAGGAAGAAAGCGAUCUGUUGUCUUCUAAGAUAUCCAACCAGACUGUUUUACCUUCUCUGGCUGUCGCUUAAUAGCACGUGUCUUUACGGUUUUAAAAUAAAGGGUCUUAACAUUUUAUUAUGUAGUUUUUU